This 502-nucleotide ribosomal RNA is filed under the name uncultured bacterium. RNAcentral describes it as "partial 16S ribosomal RNA". It matches the Rfam family "Bacterial small subunit ribosomal RNA", at positions 899 to 1397 of the family's 1533-position model. The record is from RNAcentral.
ACUCAAAUGAAUUGACGGGGACCCGCACAAGCGGUGGAGCAUGUGGAUUAAUUCGAUACUAACCGAAGAACCUUACCCAGGUUUGACAUCGAUUGCAAGCCCUAGAGAUAGGGCCCUCUCCCACAAGGAGACAUGAAGACACUUGUUGCAUGGCUGUCGUCAGCUCGUGCCGUGAGGUGUACGGUUAAGUCCGCCAACGAGCGCAACCCUCGUCCUAUGUUGCCAGCGAUUAAAGUCGGGAACUCAUAGGAGACCGCCGGUGUAAAUCGGAGGAAGGUGAGGAUGACGUCAAGUCAGCAUGGCAGUUACGCCUGGGGCUUCACACAUGCUACAAUGGGCGAAACAAUGGGCAGCAAAACCGCGAGGUAGAGCCAAUCCCAAAAAUACGCCCCCAGUUCAGAUUGUAGUCUGCAACUCGACUACAUGAAGGCGGAAUCGCUAGUAAACGCAGGUCAGCUAUACUGCGUUGAAUACGUUCCCGGGUCUUGUACACACCGCCCGU